Molecule: long non-coding RNA, 2145 nt
Filed under: Theobroma cacao (cacao)
Lineage: Eukaryota; Viridiplantae; Streptophyta; Magnoliopsida; Malvales; Malvaceae
Description: long non-coding RNA (TCAC_LNC004260)
Source: RNAcentral
CAACUUAAUGAACAAAGAACUACGACUCGACCUCUAACAAUGGAGCGAUUCGGGAUUAAAUGCUAUGAGAUGCCUUUGCCUAUCUGCGGUGGAUCGCAUGUAUCAAUGAUUACAAGCUAGGCCAAUCCCUGUCUGUAAAUGGGGAAACAAAAGGGGUGUGAGUCUCACAAACUCAGUGAUCAUCGACCCCGUGAGCACGUAAGAAGGGGAAACAAAUAUGAAGAUGGAAUGUUUAUAAAUCUAAGAGUAAGCAUAGAAAACACACUCCAUUAAAUUGAGAGAUUUUGUUUUUAUACCUUGCAAGUCUUAAAAAUAAUGAAUUACAAGUAAACAUAUAUGAAAAUGGUUGUAUUUAAGGUACUAGAAAUCUUUCAACUUUGAUAUCCAGUCAACAGUAAAUCCAAUGGCAACUGUAAAAUGAAGAGUCUCAAACAUAAAAAUGUGAAAUAACUGAUCACCAAUGAAUAUGUAAAUUUCACUUGCCAUUCAAUAGUAAAAUUCAAGUGUUAAUGCCAUGGAUUGUGUAAAAAAAAUCCACAAAAGAGCAUCAUUCUCUGGUAGGUUUAAUAUAACCCUUAGGCUUACUCUCUCAGACAUCAUCACCUACUCGUGAGAACUGCCCAAUCCACCAUAUAUAAAUCGAGGCUUCAGGUCCUCUUUUACCUAUUCGUGGGAACUGCCCACGCCACUCAAUAUAAAUCGAGGCUUCAAGUCCCUCUUCACCUACUCGUGGGAACUGCUCACGCCACCCAAUAUGAAUCGGGGCUUCAGGUCCCCCUUUUUACAAUCAAAUAUCGAUAAUCAACAAAUACUACUUUGUGCACAAAUACCACACUUAACCUGGUGUGGUAACAGGUUUUACCCAGAGUAUCUCAAUUACGUUAAAAUGAAAAUCAUUGCAAUUUAAUGCAUUUACAAAACCUGACAGAUCAAAAGCAAUAUAAUCAUAAAUUGAAUGUUUUGCAUAAUUUAUUUCAAAAGCAUGGCAUAUCCAUCAAAUCAACAUGCUUAGUGAAAUCAAUAGUAUUUUUUUAAAAAAAUAUCAUGAAUCAAAUAAUGACCAUUGACCCAAACAUCCACAAGCUUGCAAGGUAUGAUUUUGAAGCAAAAAACCAGUCAAAGGUUUGUUUCCUCGUAAUUAAAACCUUGUAGAUAUAUACUUAUAUAUAAUAUAAAAAAAAACGAAUUUAAAACCCUUGAUUGCAAUCACAAACAACCUAAGGCUUUCUACCAACUUACGCUUUCCACAAUUUCGUCAACCAUCAAAUGUAUCAUAUAUAAUAUAUUUAUCGGGAUAUGGUUUUUGAAAUUUAGCACCUAUUCAGCUCACAAUAACGGGAUGCUAUGUCGUUAUUUCUAUUUACCGAUCGCUCGUCACUUGCUCUCUUACACGCCGCUAUAAUGCACUAUCUUUACUUUGGUACUUCCUAUCAACAAUCCAAACUUAAUAUAUUUAGUGCAUCAAUUCCACUUCUAUUUCUCAUUUUAUCAUGAAUCCAUAUUCGACUAACUCACAUCUUAAUACAUUUUUACUAAAAUCGCUUAUAUCCUUUGCUCACGUAACCCUUUAGAUUAUAAUCACCGACAACUUAUUUAUGAUAUUAAGUGCCUACUUAAGCUUUAGAAGUAACUUCCGCCCAAAUCCAUCUUAAUAUUUUUAUAAUAUUAACCAUAUUUACGGCAACCACAAUCAUUUUAAAUCUACUCAAUUAUUUUCCAAUUUCCAUCCACAUUAUUCCCUUUUAUUUCUUCCAAUUAAUAUACCAUGCAACUUAACACUUCCAACUAAUUUAUGUAAAUAAAUUCCUUCGACAAUAAUAAUUCCUCACAAUAAACAAUUUCAAAAUUUCUUAACUAUAUUUAAAACACUAUUCAUUCAUCUCAUAUUUUCUUAUUUGCUUUAAUCCUAUGAGAUAUCAUAAAAGAAUUUUUAAAUAUUGUAUUAAAGUAACUUAAUUUAAUUCAUAUUACCAAUAAUCUAAAUUUAGCUAAACAAGAUGGGCUAGCCCUUCAAAUAAUUCAAUUUCAUAACAAGCCCAUGAAACAAAUAAAAAGGCAAGGAAAUUUACCAAAUUGGGCUAAGUUGGCCCAAAUCUCCACAUUUCUUCUCUUUCUCUUUUUCUUCUUCCUUCCUUGUUCCAGCCG